Molecule: long non-coding RNA, 850 nt
Organism: Alligator mississippiensis (American alligator)
Lineage: Eukaryota; Metazoa; Chordata; Crocodylia; Alligatoridae
Exons: 3
Source: RefSeq, a predicted model, not a curated record
CCCACUGCCCUAUGCUACAUGGGGGGGGGGCUUUUCCACAAGCCCCCCGACCACCCCCUCGCUCCCCCACAGCUGCCUCACCUGCCCAUGCUCUGGCCCUUUAAGGAAAAAAAACAAAUGAGAACAAGCCUGGGACUCACUGCUCCUGCAGCAGCCUUGGGGCUUCGGAAGGCUCAUGAAGAACCCCCCAUGUGGCACAGGGCAGCGGGGAUCACGCCCCCUCCAGCAGGAAUGAAUUAUUCAUCCACAUGGUGACCCUUGUCCUCAUGAAAAGCAUUGGGCUAGUUGCUGAUGAAGAUCUCAAAAUAACCUGAGAAAGCCUACUUUCUUAAAUAUCUCCAAAUGCAGCUGAAGGAGGAAAGAGUGCACAGAUUUUCAGCAUGCUCCUUUGAUUCAGGGUUUAAAGUAGUUUCUGAUCACUUCAACCAGCGUAUGUGUAAUGUCUGUCCCUAGACCUUAUGUCCACUGUGAUGUGUACCACCUCCUGACAUUCCUGAGUAUUAAGAUUAAUAAAAGGAUGACUUUCGACCCCAUUUCUGCUUCUGCACUUCAAGCUCCAUCACAACCAAGAAAUGUUAACUGAUAGCUGGUAUUUCUUCAAUCAGCAUUGCUCACCAAACUUAGAGGAGGCCAGGUAUAUCAACUACCCUAUAUUUUUAAGUUUUUAGUUUCUACAACCUUCCCCUCCCCCAAAAACCCAAACAAACCAGAGUUGUACUAUACAUAAAAUUCUCUACUAGUACAGAGCUAUGGUUAAUACCAGGAAAUAUUUAAGUUGGGAAGUAAAAAAUACUAUAUCUAAUUAAAACAUAAGCAAUAUCCAUAAAUAAAAUGAGAUUGGUAAGAAAAG